GACGAACGCUGGCGGCGUGCCUAAUACAUGCAAGUAGAACGCUGACUACUUUAGCUUGCUAGAGUAGAAGGAGUUGCGAACGGGUGAGUAACGCGUAGGUAACCUGCCUACUAGCGGGGGAUAACUAUUGGAAACGAUAGCUAAUACCGCAUAAGCACACGUGAUCGCAUGAUCGAGUGUGAAAAACUCCGGUGGUAUGAGAUGGACCCGCGUCUGAUUAGCUGGUUGGUGGGGUAAUGGCCCACCAAGGCGACGAUCAGUAGCCGGCCUGAGAGGGUGAACGGCCACAUUGGGACUGAGACACGGCCCAA
RNAcentral lists this ribosomal RNA (311 nucleotides) under uncultured bacterium. RNAcentral describes it as "bacterial SSU rRNA". It matches the Rfam family "Bacterial small subunit ribosomal RNA", at positions 28 to 334 of the family's 1533-position model. The record is from RNAcentral.